This 143-nucleotide non-coding RNA is filed under the name uncultured Anaerostipes sp. The record is from RNAcentral. Lineage: Bacteria; Bacillati; Bacillota; Clostridia; Lachnospirales; Lachnospiraceae.
CAAUUCAGACAUGAAAAGGGAAUCAGGUGCAAAACCUGAGCGGUCCCGCCGCCGUAAUGAGGAGUUAAGGCAAGGAUACCACUGGGAAAACCGGGAAGGUGCCAAAACGUUGAAUCAGAGCCGGAAUACUUGCCAUGAUCUAA